Molecule: long non-coding RNA, 4630 nt
Filed under: Paramuricea clavata
Lineage: Eukaryota; Metazoa; Cnidaria; Anthozoa; Malacalcyonacea; Plexauridae
Source: RNAcentral
CCGUAGUUCACUUCAUGUCGAACUCUAGCUUGUGACUCUUCUGAGAUAUUGAAAGUGCAGCAAUCUUAACACAAUCGAAACUAACAAAGAAACUCGUAACAAAUCUAGCCAAUCGUUAUAUUAAAGAAAUGAGCCAUUAGCGAAAAGAUUGGCUUGCUUCAGUGGAUUUUAAAGAUCGAGGGUCUUUUGUGUCGAAAGUUUGAAUACAAAUUCUUUGUCUUUGCAAAUAACAGGUAUGUUGACCUUUGAUCAAAUUUUCAUAUAUUUCAAACUUUGCUUGAAAUUAUUCUCAUACUUUGAGCAGAACUUGUUAUUUAUUGUAGCGUCUUAUGCACGACCUAAAUUCUUACUUAUGUUACUCAUUGGCUGUAAAAUUAGAACAUUUCUAAACUAUGAUCUCAUCGGUGAAAUGCAACCUGAUAUAUUUAUUAAACAUUCUUGCAUUCCAUCGAGCAAUUACUGGUUGCAUAAUGUGACAAUGUAACAAAUUAUAGAUCCACGACAGUAUGUAUAUUUCAUACAUUUUGAUAAAUGCUUAAAUUCUAACUCGUGAUUUCGAAAUAUAAUGUAUUUAAAUGGUGAGAUUUGUGCCAAUGCUCAUGAAAUAUUGAUCAAAUACCAUUAUUUAUACGCUGACAAAGUAAUUUCUACGGGUGGUCCACUUUGUUGCACUUUCGAAUAUAAACAAACGAUUUAGCGCCGUUUGAAUAAAGUUUGCACAAUCACAUGAGUAAAUUUUGUGCAAAAUUUCGAAAUUGCGUGUCGCAAAUAAUAUUCCGUUGCUAUUACAUCACAUUUGAUAAUAUCAAGGUGACCAAAUUUGUAUAAUGUUUUGUCUAGAAUUUUAAAAUUUCAUACUACAAAUUUUUGUGGUUUUACAGUAUGAAAUUAUAUUGUAUUAUCAGUCUAGCACGGGAGUAGUCGAAUGUAUUCGUGCACUGAUUUUAUAUAAUGGUAAUAAAAACUAAAUCGUAGGCCCGUCAGAUCUACGUAAUUUCUGCAACUUGCCCAUUGUACUAAGGAAAAAAUAUCCGAGGCGUGUCGACACUAUAUUCUAUAAUCAGAUAUCGCAACCGCAGUAAAAAAUAGGCGGUGAGAAUUUUCAACUUUUUUAGCAUUACUAUUUACAAAUAGCUCUCGGAAUGAUUUGAGAAAAGCGAUCCAGCUUACAACAGUACAAUUGAUGAAAGAAAUGCACUUACAGACAGUUAUUUUCAAAGUUACCUGUAAAAUUGUAAAUAUUAGCUCGUGUUUCCGCGAGCUGUGCAAAAACCCGUUAUAGUAUUAACUCCGUCGAGCUUUCCUGCUGGGACUUUCCGCUGGAGAUCUUUUGAAUUUUAAAAUUUUUAGCCAUCAAACAAUUAAUUGCGUGUAUCCAUUUUCGAUGGGGGGAAAAUACCGAAAUAUUUCAGAUUGGAUUGGGUAAUUCUAUAAGCUGUUUCCACUUGUAACUAUGUUUGCAAAUAGACGUGGUGUUUUUCCACAAAAAUAAGCCAAUUAUUUUUGUUUUCAUGCAAACCACAAGGAACUUAAACUCGUGCAUUAUUUUGGCAUGGGCAGGACACUGAUUUUGGCUGCACACGCGCGGUUUCUUAAAAGGACGUGUUACAACGUGUUGUAGCAAUGAUUGCAACAUACUGUAGACGCAUAAAUUGCGGGCAGGCCGACGCGAUAUUCCUUUGCAACACCAUGCGAUGAUAUUGGCAUGAAACUUAUUACAAUUCUAUAUUACAUAAUCAUGUAAGAAAGCUUUGGAUUAAUAGGGAUGCAAGUGCCUGCAAGUACAUGAGGAGAACCGGCUUACUGUUCGCGACGAAGGGUCGAAAUUCUCACUUGUAUUCUUCAGGUAUUUGCAUUCCUUAUCAACCGAAACUUUCUAUAAAUGAAUUUGAGCUUUCCGUAUGUACCUGAGCACUAGUCGCUUCCGGUCCUUCCUUUUUGCCGCGGCUAUUUAUAAUAUUUUUUUAAUUUCAAUUCCUUCAACUAUAUUUUCUCCUUGCCUACAAAUUUACUUGCCAAUGUCAAAGUCCAUGAUGCUAUAAAAGUUCUCGGAGAGGAAUGCGUUAUUUAAAGUAGUAGGGGAAUUCUCGGAAAAGAUAGCCUAUUCAAAAGACAACAACAGUCAAAAUACCACGAAUGUUUUGUUGACAUUUCGUUGAAAUUUUAGGCCACGUUUAUACUGGAUAGCUCUCCGUAGCGGCGCGAAAGAUUGCUGCUUGGUUCUUGCAUUUUGGCACGUUUGUGAAACAUUCGCAAAAUCUGGAAAAUACCACGGGCUUUUGGUUACGGUGAAAUUGGUACAUCAUAAGAUACAUUUCAUUGUUCUGCCCCAAAUGUUCGAUCGGGUCAUAACAUCUGCAAUUCCUAAAAUAUUAACUAAAUGCACUCGAUAAUUUCGCAAACUGUUGACAUUUUCACCUAAUUAUUUCAUUUGUGAAAUGUCAUUUGACCCCGCGAUUCUAUCCGAAAGCACGUGCAAUAUAUGUUUACGAGAAUUCCCUUCGUCCCAACCCCCAAAGGAUCAUGGUGUUUUCUUGUUGAGUAUUUUGUCAAGUGGAAGUCAUGCUCUGUGGCUGCUUGCUCGUACAACAAUCCAUCGUGUAAGUCCUCAAUCUUUCUUAUUUCAAAAAAUCUACAAACUUUAUUCUAUUCUGUGAUAUUUAAACUCUAGGAAACCGGUUUCAUUUCACGCGAAAUCGGCGAGGAAGUACGAUAAAAUCGAGUAGAUACCGCGGCUCUUUGUCACACCCUCGGUUCGAUUUGUAGAGCACGCACGUAUUAAACCGCGUUGUCUUGUGUGUUGUUUUUUAGCUGCCUUCGAUGAGUUUUGUAUGUGUACUUGGUAUGCACGAAGUUGGCUGGGAGACUGAUAGAUACACUGUCGUCGAAAAGAAUGCAAAACUGGCUAAAGCAACGAAAGAAACUUCCUCGAACGUGACGGCGAAUGGCUACGACUUAUCGAACGCAAACGGCGUCAAUGGCGAGGUAGGUAGCUACCUAUUCGAACGGCAAGGUGUCGCUACAAGCUUCACGAAAAGCGUUACGAUGGACGAGAAUACUUUCGCUGGCAAACAUUGGGCUGUAAACGACAAAUCUGAAACCGUAAGUUUGUAUUUUCAUAGUAUAAAGAUGCCCCAUAUUUAUGCACGAGUAUUUAUUGUUGUGGAAUCGAUUUACUCGAGUGAUCCUUUGAUCGCUUCGAAAUAUGUCGCUAGAAAGCUACUUUUGAAUGAACACAUUAUUCCUAGGAAGCAUUUCCUCAAAGUUGUGAUAAAAACCUAACAAAACAGAGUGUUUAUUCCAAGAGAAAUCUCUAUAGAAGUCCGCAUUGUACGAAUAUAUUCUAAGCAUGUGAAGUUUACAUAAUAUAAAUUUAAGCGUCUUUCAAAACUAUUUAAAUUCGGUCAAAAACUAAGCCUAUUCGUUACGUAUUUGUUUGUUAUGUGAAAGAAGAAAAGCGAAAUAACGAAAUAUAAAUUUGUCGGAAAAAUUGAAAGUAUUUUGAGCGUAUAUUUUUGUGUGCUCGCGGUUUUGUUUUCAUUUCAUCGCCUAAUGAUUGAAAAUAUGCAUGGAUUUCGAAUUAGCCAUGUAUUUAAAUGGUUUUUGAAUUGAAAUCGUGGCAAUUACGGCCUCGAUUUGCCAUGUGACAAAUGGUGUAACGGUCUAAAAAUAUUUCGUAUUUUAUAAGUCAUCAAAUGCUUGAAAAGUAUUCAGAUUUUAAUGAACAGUUUGAUAUUGCUGAUUUGCUGGUAUUUUGAAGUUCGCAUUUAAAAAAAAUUUUAAGUAUGGCAAAUGGAAUUUUUCCAAAAUACGAGCUUAAUGCUAGACCGUACAUCGUGUUUCUUACUAAUGUGGGCUAAUGAUGUUUGGGUGUGAUUGUGGUAUCGUUCCGCUUCAUUAGCCAAAACACAGACUUGCAGAAGCGCUCAUAUUAUGAAUAUUAAUGGCCUGUUUAUUUGAUCCCGGCAGGAUCUAGGAACGUUUUCACCCGGCUGGCUGGCUAGCGGGAAAUGCACCCAGGUGGGAUUGGCAUGUUUAGAUGGACCAAAACAUUCCUGGGAUAAAGCCAUCUAAGGGGUAUAUGUGUGGAGACGAGCCAGCCCAGAUACCUGAGCUAGCUCGCGAGACUCUUGAGAUGGACUGGCUCUCCAAAACAAACCACCGGCUCUCACCGCUGUAACACUCAGCUAGCCGGGGUCAUUGCAUUUUUAUGCGGUCACAUUCCCAUCACCCAAGAUCACGGCUCCCUUCGAGGCAGGCCAGCUCAGUUCCCAUAUAAAGUCAAAAUAAAAUUUAAACCAGGCGAGCUCAGGUACCCUGGCUGGCUUGCCCCGUACAAACAGCCCCUAGGUGCUUGACAUAUUUUUGUAGCUGAUGGUGGUUGGUGUUUCAGAGCAGACACUUUUCGCUCAUGGGUUCGAUCCUCAUGGCACAGCCAUAACGUUUAUGUGCAAAGAGUCAAACCAUCUACAUCCAAUUCUAUCGAAAUAUUAUAAGAUGCCCAAAACCCUGGUAUACAUAACCUAAUUGUAACAUUUUGUAGACAAACAACAAUGUAUCUGAUCUGGAAGAAAAUUUUCAAGGAAUAAAUAUCAAUGAUGAAAAAGAGCAAAAAUCCAAUAUGCAAGAG